AGGCAGCANNAAGGGAAUCUUCCGCAKNBGGGGAAAGCCUGACGKGAGCAACGCCGCGUGAGUGAKUGAAGGUCUUCGGAUCGUAAAGCUCUGUUAUUAGGGAAGAACAAAUGUGUAAGUAACUGUGCACGUCUUGACGGUACCUAAUCAGAAAGCCACG
Molecule: ribosomal RNA, 160 nt
Filed under: uncultured eubacterium ZI-3
Lineage: Bacteria
Description: partial 16S ribosomal RNA
Rfam family: Bacterial small subunit ribosomal RNA
Source: RNAcentral